RNAcentral lists this long non-coding RNA (2865 nucleotides) under Triticum aestivum (bread wheat). RNAcentral's name for it is "long non-coding RNA (TAES_LNC028121)". Lineage: Eukaryota; Viridiplantae; Streptophyta; Magnoliopsida; Poales; Poaceae. The record is from RNAcentral.
AAGUCAGUGCACGUUAUCAUUCUUGUUAGUUCUAAGUGAAUUCCCUCGGUAUGAUAAUUUGUUCAUCAGUUUGUUCCCCGUUUCUUCUCUAGCCUGAGCCUGACACACUAUUCUAGCUAGACAUGGGUGUGGCUCGUAACACCUGAUGACCAAACGGAUCUACGACACCAUCGAAUCUCAAACUUUAACUACCAAAACUAUUGUUUUUCAUCCUCUAGUCCCUUUUAGAAUUACUAAACGUCCUUUUUUGGGCCGAGAUUUCCAGGAACGCUUUCUCGGGGUUUGUGUGCAUGUAUUUCAAACCAUACAGACCUAAAAAUUAGAAGUCAUUCCAUCUUUAUUCCCGUAGAGCCUUCCAGCAGUUCCUAAACCGCUCCAGUCGGAGCAUGUUAUCAUUCUUGUUUGUUCUGAGUGAAUUCCCUCGGUAUGAUAAUUCUAUCAUCAGUUUGUUCCCCGUUUCUUCUCUAGCCUGAGCCUGGCAAACUAUUCUAGCUAGACAUGGGUGUGGCUCGUAACACCUGAUGACCAAACGGAUCUACGACACCAUCGAAUCUCAAACUUUAACUACCAAAACUAUUGUUUUUCAUUCUAUAGUCCCUUCUAGAAUUUCUAAACGUCCUUUUUUGGGCCGAGAUUUCCAGGAAUGCUUUCUCGGGGUUUGUGUGCAAGUAUUUCAAAUCAUACGGACCUAAAAAUUAGAAGUCAUUCCAUCUUUAUUCCCCUAGAGCCUUCCAGUAGUUCCUAAACCGCUCCAGUCGGAGCACGUUAUCAUUCUUGUUAGUUCAUAGUGAAUUCCCUCGGUAUGAUAAUUCUUUCAUCAGUUUGUUCCCCGUUUCUUCUCUAGCCUGAGCCUGGCACAGUAUUCUAGCUAGACAUGGGUGUGGUCGUAACACCUGAUGACUAAAUGGAUCGACGGCACCAUCGAAUCUCAAACUUUAACUGCCAAAACUAUUGUUUUUCAUCCUGUAAUCCCAUUUAGAAUUACUAAACGUCCUUUUUUGGGCCGAGAUUUAGAGGAACGCUUUGUUGGGGUUUGUGUGCAAGUAUUUCAAACCAUACGGACCUAAAAAUUAGAACUCAUUCCAUAUUUAUUCCCCUUGAGCCUUCCAGCAGUUCCUAAACCGCUCUAGUCGGAGCACGUUAUCAUUCUUGUUAGUUCUAAGAGAAUUCCCUCGGUAUGAUAAUUCUUUUAUCAGUUUGUUCCCCGUUUCUUCUCUAGACUGGGCCCGACACACUAUUCUAGCUAGACAUGGGUGUGGCUCGUAACACCUGAUGACCAAACGGAUCUACGGCACCAUCGAAUCUCAAACUUCAACUGCCAAAACUAUUGUUUUUCAUCCUGUAGUCCCUUUUAGAAUUACUAAACGUCCUUUUUUGGGCCGAGAUUUCCAGGAACGCUUUCUCGGGGUUUGUGUGCAAGUAUUUCAAACCAUACGGACCUAAAAAUUAGAAGUCAUUCCAUCUUUAUUCCCGUAGAGCCAUCCAGCAGUUCCUAAACCGCUCCAGUCGGAGCACGUUAUCAUUCUUGUUAGUUCUGAGUGAAUUCCCUCGGUAUGAUAAUUCUUUCAUCAGUUUGUUCCCCGUUUCUUCUCUAGCCUGAGCCUGACAAACUAUUAUAGCUAGACAUGGGUGUGGCUCGUAACACCUGAUGACCAAACGGAUCUAUGGCACCAUCGAAUCUCAAACUUUAACUGCCAAAACUAUUGUUUUUCAUCCUGUAGUCCCUUUUAGAAUUACUAAACGCCCUUCUUUGGGACGAGAUUUCCAGGAACGCUUUCUCGGGGUUUGUGUGAAAGUAAUUCAAACCAUACGGACCUAAAAAUUAGAAGUCAUUCCAUCUUUAUUCCCGUGGAGCCUUCCAGUAGUUCCUAAACCGCUCCAGUCGGAGCACGUUAUCAUUCUUGUUAGUUCUGAGUGAAUUCCCUCGGUAUGAUAAUUCUUUCAUCAGUUUGUUCCCUGUUUCUUCUCUAGCCUGAGCCUGGCACACUAUUCUAGCUAGACAUGGGUGUGGCUCGUAACACCUGAUGACUAAACUGAUCAAUGACACCAUCGAAUCUCAAACUUUAACUGCCAAAACUAUUGUUUUUCAUCCUGUAGUCCCAUUUAGAAUUACUAAACGUCCUUUUUUGGGCCGAGAUUUCCAGGAACGCUUACUCGGGGUUUGUGUGCAAGUAUUUCAAACCAUACUGACCUAAAAAUUAGAAGUCAAUCCAUCUUUAUUCCCCUAGAGCCUUCCAGCAGUUCCUAAACCGCUCCAGUCGGAGCACGUUAUCAUUCUUGUUAGUUCUGAGUGAAUUCCCUCGGUAUGAUAAUUCUUUCAUCAGUUUGUUCCUUGUUUCUUCUCUAGCCUGAACCUGACACACUAUUCUAGCUAGACAUGGGUGUGGCUCGUAACACCUGAUGACCAAACGGAUCUACGGCACCAUCGAAUCUCAAACUUUAACUGCCAAAACUAUUAUUUUUAAUCCUCUAGUCCCAUUUAGAAUUACUAAACGUCCUUUUUUGGGCCGAGAUUUAGAGGAACGCUUUCAUGCGGUUUGUGUGCAAGUAUUUCAAACCAUACGGACCUAAAAAUUAGAAGUCAUUCCAUCUUUAUUCCCCUAGAGCCUUCCAGCAGUUCCUAAACCGCUCCAGUCGGAGCAUGUUAUCAUUCUUGUUAGUUCUGAGUGAAUUCCCUCGGUAUGAUAAUUCUUUCAUCAGUUUGUGGCCCGUUUCUUCUCUAGCCUGAGCCUGACACACUAUUCUAGCUAGACGUGGGUGUGGCUCGUAACACCUGAUGACCAAACGGAUCUACGGCACCAUCGAAUCUCAAACUUUAAGUGCCAAAACUAUUAUUUUUAAUCCUGUAGUCCCAUUUAGAAUUAC